This 442-nucleotide long non-coding RNA is filed under the name Bos taurus (domestic cattle). Its description in RNAcentral is "long non-coding RNA NONBTAT025289". Lineage: Eukaryota; Metazoa; Chordata; Mammalia; Artiodactyla; Bovidae. The record is from RNAcentral.
GUGACUGGCCAAAGAUGGUGACAGUGGUGCCCUUGUAUUGGUUGGGGGUUGGGAGUCGGGCUCAAGGGGCUUCAGGUUCUAAGAUUUGAUGACUGACAGUGAGACUCAUGCAAGAAGUUCUGCCACUCUGUGUAAAUACAGUCACAGAAUCCAGGGGGAGCAGUGGUGACUUGUGAGUGAGCCUGGUCCCCUUAACAGACUUCUGUUAUUAACAGACUUCCCACUUCCACACAGUGGGAUCUGCGGUGUAGUUGGUAGAAAUCCUCGUAGUAAAUCUAUCUUACUACCUUCCAAGGAUGUAAUGAAAUGCUACCAUUUAAAAUUCAUUUCCUUGGAAUCUGAAGACAUCAGUUCUAAAAAAUAACAUGUUGAAAGGAUAUGAUGCCAAAAAUCAGAGCUUUUCUCAUGUUUCCACUAUGCAUUGAAAAUAGACCCCUGGAGU